AGAGAGAGACAUGCGCGCAUAUCAAUAAGCGGAGGAAAAGAAACUAACAAGGAUUCCCUUAGUAACGGCGAGUGAAGCGGGAAGAGCUCAAAUUUGAAAUCUUCAAGGUUUUACCUUGACGAAUUGUAGUUUAAAGAAGUGUUUUCUGCUGAAGUUUUGGUAAAAGUUCUUUGGAAUAGGACAUCAUAGAGGGUGAGAAUCCCGUAUUUGACCAUUAUUUUCAGCUUUGUGAUACACUUUCAAAGAGUCGGAUUGUUUGGGAAUGCAGUCCAAAAUGGGUGGUAAAUUUCAUCUAAAGCUAAAUAUUGGCGAGAGACCGAUAGCGAACAAGUACCGUGAGGGAAAGAUGAAAAGAACUUUGAAAAGAGAGUUAAACAGUACGUGAAAUUGUCAAAAGGGAAGCGUUUGACACCAGUGUUGUUUUCUCGAAAAUCAAUUAAAAACUGGCUCGAUUUUGUAUUGCUUGAGACCUUAAAAGCUCACUGUACAUUUUUCGUGUCUUUUUUAAUGCACUUUUCGUUUAACAAGUCAACAUCAGUUUCUUUUGUUGUAAAAGGGUCAUUGGAAGGUGGCUUUCUUUUCGGAGAAAGUGUUUAUAGCCUUUGGCCUCUGCAAUCGAAGAGACUGAGGUCUGCAGCGUAGACUCUUCGGGGUUAGAUACAUUUGUGCUAAGUUAUAGCUUUUUAUAGACAACUUGUUGACUAUGAUUAGUCAUUGUAGCUUACUCGCUUAUGCUAUUUUACCUACGCUUAGGAUGUUGAAGAUGUAGCACAUCAU
Molecule: ribosomal RNA, 777 nt
Filed under: uncultured Neocallimastigales
Lineage: Eukaryota; Fungi; Neocallimastigomycota; Neocallimastigomycetes; Neocallimastigales
Description: partial large subunit ribosomal RNA
Rfam family: Eukaryotic large subunit ribosomal RNA
Source: RNAcentral